ACUGGUUGCUACUGUGGUGGUGUUGUUUGAAACCUAUUUUAAAGAAAUCCUUAAAGUAAUUUCUGAGUGUGCUAUAAAACUGGAUCAUUAAAAAAAGAGCAACAAUUAUAGGUGAAUGCUUUAAGUUUCUACUGAGGAUUCAAUAAGACAAAGAUUCUUUCUCGCAUUUUUGCUCUGAAUUCCAAUAUUUUUUUCCAAUAAAAAUUUCCAGUUUCCAAUAAAAGCAGGUAAUUUAAACCAAAUGAGCAUCCUGUAGAUGUUAUCUUUAAAUGAUGAGGAACUCAACUAUUUUAGAAAUGGUAUAAUGAAGAUUUGUUUAAGGUCAAAUGGGGGUAUUAAAUGCCUUUUUUUUUUUUUUUUUUGGCUGAUGGAUUUAGUCUAUACUUGAGGCUCGUGUUAAAUUUAAUAAAAUCAAUUGUCUGUUAUGAGGAGUGUAUUUUCAUAGCCUGAGGUAUCCAUUACCUGAUCUGCAUAUGUGCCUAUUAGGUGGUGUUCCUGUAUAUUGUAUGUUAGUAAUGGCACAAACUUAACUUACUGAGUUAAAAGACUGUGUCUUCUAGCCGUCUGCUCCUUGGGAAGCUGACUUUUUCAUGCCACAUGCAGCUGCUUUUUCUGGUCUAUCGAACGUUAGCUUCAGUUCCACAUCUGUACUGUUUGUUCUGAGCUACGUCAUAGGUAACAAGUAGCCCAUUGUGACAAGGAGGUUUGACUCUGCCUGGAGUUGCACAGGGUAGCAGUGAUCUUACUGAUCCAAUUGCAGAAGAAAAUACAAGUAAUGCUACAAGAAGGAAUUGGCUUUCAUCUAUUGUGGAGCUAUGUCAUAUUGAUACUGCUUCAUAGCGUCAAUUCAAGUUUUACAUCACCAACUCCUGCUUCAGAAAAAAAUGAAGUGGCAGGCAGCAACUUUGUCACGAAAGUGAAAGGUGCAUCUAACGCGUUUUUAAACCUCUUCAGGCCAGUGACUUGCCGAUACAAAGAAAGGCACACCUUAGUCCCUUGUCGUGCAGGAGGGAACAUUAAUGCAACAAAGUGCUUGGAAAAUAGAUGUUGUCCUUCCAAAGGCAGGCAUCAACUGGAAUGUUAUGUCCCAUUUAAAGACAAUCUGCAGCUGGCACUUCGACUGUUUCUGGUUGGGGCACUUGGAUGUAUAAUUUUGGGUUGUGUACCAUUAUUUUGCUGUGCCUGGCUUCAGAAGAGUCCAUGUAUCAAUCCUUUACGAAGUGCAAACAUAACAAUAGAACAAAUUGUGAAGAACAAGAGAGCAAAUAGUGAAGAAAUGCGUAGCUUGUUAUCAAAUUGACCUAAAGGCUUUGAGGAGCAUAAACACAAAAGAAAGGGUACAGUGGUUCUUUGGAGGACAGGACACUACAUGCCAGCUCCAUUAAAACACCAGAAUUGAAUUAAAGCUUUAUGAAACAUUAUGGAAGUUCUGGAUAUAUUUUAAUUUCUAAAAUGCUCAUUGCAUACUUCUUACAUUCUUUUGAUACAUAUAUCUUACAUUCUUUGGAAUGUAAAAAUGUGGCAGAUCCAGGUGAAGCAGAUGAACCUGAUUAUUAGGCCACUGACCCUGAGUGAAAGGAAGUUAGAGAACAAGAGAUGAGAGCAGAAGCAGCCUGGGAUAUUCAGAGUUAACGAGGACAGCAAAUAAG
Molecule: long non-coding RNA, 1649 nt
Organism: Coturnix japonica (Japanese quail)
Lineage: Eukaryota; Metazoa; Chordata; Aves; Galliformes; Phasianidae
Product: FMR1 neighbor
Source: Ensembl